GGCAUUGUAGUCUAAUGGGUAAGAAACUAGUCUUGUAAUCUAAAGGUCGCAGGUUCGAUUCCCUGGUAGGACACUGCCG
RNAcentral lists this transfer RNA (79 nucleotides) under Anguilla anguilla (European eel). RNAcentral describes it as "tRNA-OTHER". The record is from RNAcentral. Lineage: Eukaryota; Metazoa; Chordata; Actinopteri; Anguilliformes; Anguillidae.